GACGGAGGGUGCUAGCGUUGUUCGGAAUGACUGGGCGUAAAGGGUGCGUAGGCGGUUUUAUAAGUCAGAUGUGAAAGCCCCGGGCUUAACCCUGGAAUGGCAUUUGAUACUGUAGGACUAGAGACUGGAAGAGGAGAGCGGAAUUCCUAGUGUAGAGGUGAAAUUCGUAGAUAUUAGGAGGAACACCAGAGGCGAAGGCGGCUUUCUGGUCCAGUUCUGACGCUGAGGCACGAAAGCGUGGGGAUCAAACAGG
Molecule: ribosomal RNA, 253 nt
Filed under: uncultured bacterium
Lineage: Bacteria
Description: partial 16S ribosomal RNA
Rfam family: Bacterial small subunit ribosomal RNA
Source: RNAcentral